UGGGGAAUAUUGCACAAUGGGCGCAAGCCUGAUGCAGCGACGCCGCGUGAGGGACGACGGCCUUCGGGUUGUAAACCUCUUUCAGCACAGACGAAGCGCAAGUGACGGUAUGUGCAGAAGAAGGACCGGCCAACUACGUGCCAGCAGCCGCGGUAAUACGUAGGGUCCGAGCGUUGUCCGGAAUUACUGGGCGUAAAGAGCUCGUAGGUGGUUUGUCGCGUUGUUCGUGAAAACUCACAGCUCAACUGUGGGCGUGCGGGCGAUACGGGCAGACUGGAGUACUGCAGGGGAGACUGGAAUUCCUGGUGUAGCGGUGGAAUGCGCAGAUAUCAGGAGGAACACCGGUGGCGAAGGCGGGUCUCUGGGCAGUAACUGACGCUGAGGAGCGAAAGCGUGGGGAGCAAACA
Molecule: ribosomal RNA, 407 nt
Filed under: uncultured Mycobacterium sp.
Lineage: Bacteria; Bacillati; Actinomycetota; Actinomycetes; Mycobacteriales; Mycobacteriaceae
Description: bacterial SSU rRNA
Rfam family: Bacterial small subunit ribosomal RNA
Source: RNAcentral